RNAcentral lists this long non-coding RNA (1607 nucleotides) under Helianthus annuus (common sunflower). RNAcentral's name for it is "hypothetical non coding rna". The record is from RNAcentral. Lineage: Eukaryota; Viridiplantae; Streptophyta; Magnoliopsida; Asterales; Asteraceae.
UUGACAUUUUAUUCUACCAACCAAAUUUAUUAACGGUAAGAACAACAUACCAUGAAGAAGCCAAAACAAGUUGCCGUUAGUCAUGAACUCAUAGACCAAUAACUUCUCAUCCCGUGCAAAAUAAUACGCCUUCAAACUAACGACGUUAGGAUGCCGUAACCUCCCUAGCACCUCCAUCUGCUGUUCAAACUCCCGUUUACCACCAAUCGCCGCCUCCUUCAACCGCUUCACCGCCACCACAUUACCGUCAUCCAACACCGCCUUGUACGCCGUCCCAAACCCCCCUUUCCCCAACAUCUCCGCUGACGCUCUCAACAAAUCUUCCAACUCAAACCUCCUCGCCCCCUCAAAAAAGACCAUUUUACCCCUCUCAAACCCCGUGUUUGCAUUCAUGUUCGCGUUCAUGUUCGUGGUGUUCGGGUAAGGACUAGACGAGUAAACUAUUUUCUCCCCUUCUAAAAUCCUUGACGACGUUAACUUCCCGUUACCAUUUUUAAAAUUCCUCCAGAAAUAACAAUACAAAAUUAACGUCACUAACGCCAAAACCAACACAUCUCCAAUAAUAAUCCCUACAAUAGCCACAGUGCUUAUUUUUCCACUACCGUGAUGACCCGUUGACUUUUUACUAUUCGGCAUUAACGCCGUUGACGGCAUUGAGCUAGGUGUUGAUGCUACAACCGUGUUAGCCGGAUGACCCAACGGUUGACCUAACGGCGCCGUUAAACCAGGUACUUCCGGUUCCGUACAGUUAGACAACGGAUAUCCACAUAAUAUCCGAUUAUUUGCAAAUGCAGAUUCCGGAAAGUUCGACAGUACGGCCGGUAUUUCACCGGAAAUUUCAUUACUUGAAAUAUUAAACUCUUGUAAGCUUUGUAAGUUCACGACUUUGAUAGAACCUGAAAACUUGUUAUUCUCUAACCGUAAGGUUAACAAGUUGGUCAAACGGUUGAUUGUGACCGGAAUCUCGCCGGAGAAGUUGUUGUAGGAUAGAUCGAGGCGGUAGAGGCCGGAUAACGACGGUACGGACGCCGGAAAGGUGUCGGAGAUUUGGUUGUUGGAGAGGAAGAGGAGUUUGAGUGAGGUGAGGUUAGAGAGAUCUGGAACGGGGCCGGUGAGUUGGUUGUUUUUGAGAGAGAGGAUACGGAGGUUAGUGAGGGCGGUGAGUGAGUCGAACCGGCCGUGUAAGUUGAGGUUUUCGAGGACGAGUCGAGUGACUCGGUUGUGGAGGCAGGAGACGCCGGAGAAGGUGCAGGGAUCGGUGGAGUUGUUCCAGGAGGUGAGUUGGUUGGAUGAAGGGUGGAGAUUAAGAGGAAGAAGAGGAAAUGUGGUGGUGGAGACGAUGGUUCAACCAUUGUUGUGUGUGAGAGAGAAAGGUGUUACCGGCGGUGGGAGAAGAGCCAGUGUACUGUGGAAUGAGUGCAGUGAGGGGAAGAACGUGAACGUUAAUGAGGAUGAUUCAUCAGAGGCAAAUGUUGGUAUUUAGUCCCUGUAGUUUCUUCGUUUACAAGACUAGACCCUUUGAUUGUAUUUUAUUGGGUUAGCGAGUAUACGUAUACAUCAAACGGAUAAAACAAAGUCUUUAAUUAGAAAAAGGUGGACGAUUACUU